RNAcentral lists this ribosomal RNA (871 nucleotides) under uncultured archaeon. RNAcentral's name for it is "bacterial SSU rRNA". It matches the Rfam family "Archaeal small subunit ribosomal RNA", at positions 1 to 851 of the family's 1478-position model. The record is from RNAcentral.
UUCCGGUUGAUCCCGCCGGACCCCACUGCUAUCGGGAUAGGACUAAGACAUGCUAGUCGCGUGCUUCAGCCAAAACGAGGCACGGCACACAGCUCAGUAACACGUGGCUAAUCUGCCCUUGGGAUAGGAAUACCCCCGGGAAACUGGGGCUAAUUCCCAAUAGGUGAAGAACUCUGGAAUGAGUCUCCACCAGAAAAGAGCUUACGUUAUGCUCGUAAGUUUCGCCCAAGGAUGAGGCCGCGACCGAUCAGGUUGUUGGCGAGGUAAUGGCUCACCAAGCCUUUUACCGGUGCGGGCCGUGGGAGCGGGAGCCCGGAGAUGGGUACUGAGACAAGGACCCAGGCCCUACGGGGCGCAGCAGUCGUGAAAACUUUGCAAUAAGCGCAAGCUUGACAGGGCUAUCCCGAGUGCCAUCCGCUGAGGAAGGCUUUUACCCAGUCUAGAACGCUGGGGGAAUAAGGAGAGGGCAAGUCUGGUGUCAGCCGCCGCGGUAAUACCAGCUCUCCGAGUGGUGUGGAUGUUUAUUGGGCCUAAAGCAUCCGUAGCUGGCUAAGUUAGUCCCCUGUUAAAUCCACCGAAUUAAUCGUUGGAUCGCGGGGGAUACUGCUUGGCUAGGGGACGAGAGAGGCAGACGGUAUUUUCGGGGUAGGGGUGAAAUCCUAUAAUCCCGGGAAGACCACCAGUGGCGAAGGCUGUCUGCUAGAACGCGCCCGACGGUGAGGGAUGAAAGCUGGGGGAGCGAACCGGUUUAGAUACCCGGGUAGUCCCAGCUGUAAACGAUGCAGACUAGGUGUUUGGACGGCCACGUGCCGUUCUAGUGCCGCAGGGAAAGCUGUUAAGUCUGCCGCCUGGGGAGUACGAUCGCAGAUUG